Molecule: ribosomal RNA, 159 nt
Filed under: Odontochytrium milleri
Lineage: Eukaryota; Fungi; Chytridiomycota; Chytridiomycetes; Chytridiales; Chytriomycetaceae
Description: 5.8S ribosomal RNA
Rfam family: 5.8S ribosomal RNA
About the family: 5.8S ribosomal RNA (5.8S rRNA) is a component of the large subunit of the eukaryotic ribosome.
Source: RNAcentral
AAUACAACUUUAGACAAUGGAUCUCUUGGCUCUCGCAUCGAUGAAGAACGUAGCGAAUUGCGAUAAUUAUUGUGAAUUGCAGAUUUAGUGAAUCAUCGAAUCUUUGAACCGCAUAUUGCACCCUCUGGUAUUCCGGGGGGUAUGCUUGUUUGAAGAACC